AAAGCUUUAAGUUAAUUAAAAUAAACUAUUAACCUUCAAAGUUAAAUAUAUAGAUAAUAUAAGCUUUA
RNAcentral lists this transfer RNA (68 nucleotides) under Chalcopis glandulosa. Its description in RNAcentral is "tRNA-Trp". The record is from RNAcentral. Lineage: Eukaryota; Metazoa; Arthropoda; Insecta; Hemiptera; Pentatomidae.